GUCCACGCCGUAAACGAUGAUAACUAGCUGUACGGGCUCAUGGAGUUUGGGUGGCGCAGCUAACGCAUUAAGUUAUCCGCCUGGGGAGUACGGUCGCAAGAUUAAAACUCAAAGGAAUUGACGGGGGCCUGCACAAGCGGUGGAGCAUGUGGUUUAAUUCGAAGCAACGCGCAGAACCUUACCAGCUUUUGACAUCCCGAUCGCGAUUACCAGAGAUGGUUUUCUUCAGUUCGGCUGGAUCGGUGACAGGUGCUGCAUGGCUGUCGU
This 267-nucleotide ribosomal RNA is filed under the name uncultured bacterium. RNAcentral's name for it is "partial 16S ribosomal RNA". It matches the Rfam family "Bacterial small subunit ribosomal RNA", at positions 793 to 1055 of the family's 1533-position model. The record is from RNAcentral.